RNAcentral lists this ribosomal RNA (253 nucleotides) under uncultured bacterium. RNAcentral describes it as "partial 16S ribosomal RNA". It matches the Rfam family "Bacterial small subunit ribosomal RNA", at positions 524 to 776 of the family's 1533-position model. The record is from RNAcentral.
UACAGAGGUCCCGAGCGUUGUUCGGAUUCACUGGGCGUAAAGGGUGCGUAGGUGGCUUGAAAAGUUUGAUGUGAAAGCUCAGGGCUUAACCCUGAAAUGGCAUUGAAUACUGUCGAGCUGGAGGUUUGGAGGGGGGACUGGAAUUCUUGGUGUAGCAGUGAAAUGCGUAGAUAUCAAGAGGAACACCAGUGGCGAAGGCGAGUCCCUGGACAACACCUGACACUGAGGCACGAAAGCUAGGGGAGCAAACGGG